UUAAGUUCAGCGGGUAUCCCUACCUGAUCCGAGGUCAAGAGUGUAAAAAGUACUUUUGGACGUCGUCGUUAUGAGUGCAAAGCGCGAGAUGUACUGCGCUCCGAAAUCAAUACGCCGGCUGCCAAUUGUUUUGAGGCGAGUCUACACGCAGAGGCGAGACAAACACCCAACACCAAGCGUGAGCUUGAAGGGUUAAAUGA
This 200-nucleotide unclassified non-coding RNA is filed under the name Didymellaceae sp. RNAcentral's name for it is "partial internal transcribed spacer 2". Lineage: Eukaryota; Fungi; Ascomycota; Dothideomycetes; Pleosporales; Didymellaceae. The record is from RNAcentral.